Molecule: ribosomal RNA, 3019 nt
Filed under: Salmonella enterica
Lineage: Bacteria; Pseudomonadati; Pseudomonadota; Gammaproteobacteria; Enterobacterales; Enterobacteriaceae
Description: bacterial LSU rRNA
Rfam family: Bacterial large subunit ribosomal RNA
Source: RNAcentral
GGGUUGUGAGGUUAAGCGACCAAGCGUACACGGUGGAUGCCCUGGCAGUCAGAGGCGAUGAAGGACGUGCUAAUCUGCGAAAAGCGCCGGUAAGGUGAUAUGAACCGUUAUAACCGGCGAUGUCCGAAUGGGGAAACCCAGUGUGAUUCGUCACACUAUCAUUAACUGAAUCCAUAGGUUAAUGAGGCGAACCGGGGGAACUGAAACAUCUAAGUACCCCGAGGAAAAGAAAUCAACCGAGAUUCCCCCAGUAGCGGCGAGCGAACGGGGAGGAGCCCAGAGCCUGAAUCAGCAUGUGUGUUAGUGGAAGCGUCUGGAAAGGCGCGCGAUACAGGGUGAGAGCCCCGUACACAAAAGCGCACGUGCUGUGAGCUCGAUGAGUAGGGCGGGACACGUGGUAUCCUGUCUGAAUAUGGGGGGACCAUCCUCCAAGGCUAAAUACUCCUGACUGACCGAUAGUGAACCAGUACCGUGAGGGAAAGGCGAAAAGAACCCCGGCGAGGGGAGUGAAACAGAACCUGAAACCGUGUACGUACAAGCAGUGGGAGCCCCACCACUAAGCCAGUGGUGAACUCCACAUACGCAUCCUUUGCUGAGGAUACGGUUAACGGAGCGAAAGCGACGUUCAACCGCAAAAGAAGCAGAGGGGGCUUAGUGGUGGGGUGACUGCGUACCUUUUGUAUAAUGGGUCAGCGACUUAUAUUCUGUAGCAAGGUUAACCGCAUAGGGGAGCCGGAGGGAAACCGAGUCUUAACCGGGCGUUAAGUUGCAGGGUAUAGACCCGAAACCCGGUGAUCUAGCCAUGGGCAGGUUGAAGGUUGGGUAACACUAACUGGAGGACCGAACCGACUAAUGUUGAAAAAUUAGCGGAUGACCUGUGGCUGGGGGUGAAAGGCCAAUCAAACCGGGAGAUAGCUGGUUCUCCCCGAAAGCUAUUUAGGUAGCGCCUCGUGAAUUCAUCUCCGGGGGUAGAGCACUGUUUCGGCCAGGGGGCCAUCCCGGCUUACCAAUCCGAUGCAAACUGCGAAUACCGGAGAAUGUUAUCACGGGAGACACACGGCGGGUGCUAACGUCCGUCGUGAAGAGGGAAACAACCCAGACCGCCAGCUAAGGUCCCAAAGUCAUGGUUAAGUGGGAAACGAUGUGGGAAGGCCCAGACAGCCAGGAUGUUGGCUUAGAAGCAGCCAUCAUUUAAAGAAAGCGUAAUAGCUCACUGGUCGAGUCGGCCUGCGCGGAAGAUGUAACGGGGCUAAACCAUGCACCGAAGCUGCGGCAGCGACACUGAUGUGUUGUUGGGUAGGGGAGCGUUCUGUAAGCCGUUGAAGGUGGCCUGUGAGGGUUGCUGGAGGUAUCAGAAGUGCGAAUGCUGACAUAAGUAACGAUAAAGCGGGUGAAAAGCCCGCUCGCCGGAAGACCAAGGGUUCCUGUCCAACGUUAAUCGGGGCAGGGUGAGUCGACCCCUAAGGCGAGGCCGAAAGGCGUAGUCGAUGGGAAACGGGUUAAUAUUCCCGUACUUGGUGUUACUGCGAAGGGGGGACGGAGAAGGCUAUGUUGGCCGGGCGACGGUUGUCCCGGUUUAAGCGUGUAGGUGUGUGUUCCAGGUAAAUCCGGUUCACUUUAACACUGAGGCGUGAUGACGAGGCACCACGGUGCUGAAGCAACAAAUGCCCUGCUUCCAGGAAAAGCCUCUAAGCCUCAGGUAACAUCAAAUCGUACCCCAAACCGACACAGGUGGUCAGGUAGAGAAUACCAAGGCGCUUGAGAGAACUCGGGUGAAGGAACUAGGCAAAAUGGUGCCGUAACUUCGGGAGAAGGCACGCUGACAGGUAGGUGAAGUGGUUUACCCAUGGAGCUGAAGUCAGUCGAAGAUACCAGCUGGCUGCAACUGUUUAUUAAAAAACACAGCACUGUGCAAACACGAAAGUGGACGUAUACGGUGUGACGCCUGCCCGGUGCCGGAAGGUUAAUUGAUGGGGUCAGCGCAAGCGAAGCUCUGAUCGAAGCCCCGGUAAACGGCACGUAACUAUAACGGUCCUAAGGUAGCGAAAUUCCUUGUCGGGUAAGUUCCGACCUGCACGAAUGGCGUAAUGAUGGCGGGCUGUCACCCGGGACUCAGUGAAAUUGAACUCGCUGUGAAGAUGCAGUGUACCCGCGGCAAGACGGAAAGACCCCGUGAACCUUUACUAUAGCUUGACACUGAACACUGGUCCUUGAUGUGCAGGAUAGGUGGGAGGCUUUGAAGUGUGGACGCCAGUCUGCAUGGAGCCAUCCUUGAAAUACCACCCUUUAAUGGCUGGUGUUCUAACGUGGGCCCCUGACCGGGGUUGCGGACAGUGUCUGGUGGGUAGUUUGACUGGGGCGGUCUCCUCCUAAAGAGUAACGGAGGAGCACGAAGGUUGGCUAAUCUGGUCGGACAUCAGGAGGUUAGUGCAAUGGCAUAAGCCAGCUUGACUGCGAGCGUGACGGCGCGAGCAGGUGCGAAAGCAGGUCAUAGUGAUCCGGUGGUUCUGAAUGGAAGGGCCAUCGCUCAACGGAUAAAAGGUACUCCGGGGAUAACAGGCUGAUACCGCCCAAGAGUUCAUAUCGACGGCGGUGUUUGGCACCUCGAUGUCGGCUCAUCACAUCCGGGCUGAAGUAGGUCCCAAGGGUAUGGCUGUUCGCCAUUUAAAGUGGUACGCGAGCUGGGUUUAGAACGUCGUGAGACAGUUCGGUCCCUAUCUGCCGUGGGCGCUGGAAGAUUGAGGGGGGCUGCUCCUAGUACGAGAGGACCGGAGUGGACGCAUCACUGGUGUUCGGGUUGUCAUGCCAAUGGCACUGCCCGGUAGCUACAUGCGGAAGAGAUAAGUGCUGAAAGCAUCUAAGCACGAAACUUGCCCCGAGAUGAAUCUUCCCUGAGCCUUUAAGGCUCCUGAAGGAACGUUGAAGACGACGACGUUGAUAGGCCGGGUGUGUAAGCGCAGCGAUGCGUUGAGCUAACCGGUACUAAUGAACCGUGAGGCUUAACCUUACAACGCCGAAG